GGGGGUAGAGCUCAGUGGUAGAGCCCAUGAGUGGCACGCCUGAGGUCCUGGGUUCAAUCCCCAGUACCUCCA
This 72-nucleotide transfer RNA is filed under the name Camelus bactrianus (Bactrian camel). It matches the Rfam family "tRNA". Rfam says of the family: Transfer RNA (tRNA) molecules are approximately 80 nucleotides in length. Their secondary structure includes four short double-helical elements and three loops (D, anti-codon, and T loops). The record is from Rfam by way of RNAcentral. RNAcentral also lists the same sequence under 2 other names. Lineage: Eukaryota; Metazoa; Chordata; Mammalia; Artiodactyla; Camelidae.